ACAGGAAUCACCUGGGGAUCUUAAGCAGAUACAGACUCUGAUUCAGUAGAUCUGAGAUGGGCUUGAGAUUCUGCAUGUCUAAUAACUUCCAGGUGAUGCUAAU
This 103-nucleotide microRNA precursor is filed under the name Marmota monax (woodchuck). The record is from RNAcentral. Lineage: Eukaryota; Metazoa; Chordata; Mammalia; Rodentia; Sciuridae.